Molecule: long non-coding RNA, 922 nt
Organism: Phlebotomus papatasi
Lineage: Eukaryota; Metazoa; Arthropoda; Insecta; Diptera; Psychodidae
Exons: 3
Source: RefSeq, a predicted model, not a curated record
AGUUUUGGGUUCGAAAAAUUUUGACGGUGGCGACCCCCCAAUUUCUUCAGAGCGUGGUGGUCACCAUCAAAAACUAAUUUAAUUCUCUGCGGUGGCCACCAAUGCGGCGGCGCUACGGUAUUUUCCCCACAUUCACCACCAAAAGUUCGGUGUUUGUACAGUAGUACGACGUGUAGGACUCUGUAUAGUACUUGUCUUAUGGAAAAUUUGUACAGCGUGACACAAGACGUUCCUGGAACUUUGUUCCGGAUUCGCCUGUCAGAUGGCUGAUUCCUCAGAGUUUUGUGAAUUUUCUUAUUAGUGAAAAAUGAUUAAUUAGUGUUUUUUCAAGCAAUUGACCAGCAGGAUUCCAGAGAACAGUACAGUAUUUCACAACUGAUUCAAAUCUUCGAAACUGGACAUUGUUGUUAACAACGUGAUUGGAAGAUGAAAGAACACCCUGGAACUCCACGUACUCAAAUAUAGUUCAGAUAAAACUGGAGCCAGCAGACGAUAAUCUGUUAAAUGACGAGAAGGACGGACACAUGUAAUUUUGCAAAGGUCUGCUGCUUCAGGUUCGGAGCAAUCUUUUCGGAAAUAUAUUUCCUAACACCGUAUGUUACCGAAAAUGUGCUGAAAUAGCUAAAUGUUAUGAAGAACUAAAGUAACUAAAAAUAUGUUCUCGGCAGCGAUUCGUACAUUAAUUGCACUGAUUUAAAUAAAUUUUUCAAAUGUUCUCCGUUUUGUAUGGUAUUCGCACUUUUACGAUUUGAGUAGCACAUUUUGUAUUUGGGUAUAUAAACAUUAAAUUUUUUCGUAUUUUAAUAAUUAAUAUUUCAAGUGGAACUUUUCACAAGUAAUCUAUGAUGUUGGAGUUAGAUUGGACUGAUCAUAUUUAACAUAACUUUCGUUUACAGAUAUUUGUUUUUCUGAUUUUAUAUCU